Molecule: long non-coding RNA, 290 nt
Filed under: Mytilus galloprovincialis (Mediterranean mussel)
Lineage: Eukaryota; Metazoa; Mollusca; Bivalvia; Mytilida; Mytilidae
Source: RNAcentral
AAAUAUAUAUUUUUCUUGGAACAUUGGUAAUAAGGUUUGAUGGUAAGCCUCUUUCUGGCUUCAAAAAGCAUUUCUUUUUAUGACAAACAAUAAUGAAUAAGGCACACCAUAUUUGUACUUACCAUGCGCAAUAAGCGGUUCCACAUGGUGAGCCGGAUCUGCUCACCCUACAGUAAAGUACCCGAGACCAUAUCUUGUUUUUGUUGUUGAUCGUGUCUAUAAAUAUAUACAUUUAGAUUUCUAUGAAGUGUUUGGGCUUUAUAUUUUGGCAUUUUAUGAAGGACUUUCCG